GUCGCCCUUAUCCGCUCCGCUCGUCAUCAGCGGCGGCGAUGGCGACGCAGCAGCAGCUUCUGUCGUUCGCUCAUGGGGGCUCGAUCGGCGACGCUGGCACCUGGGUGCUCGCAUCGUUGCACCCCCGUCUGGUUGUCCAUGAUCCGCGAGGUGAGCCGGAAGUGGUGUUCGGCCACUUCUACCCUGCCGAUCCAAAUGCGGUGGGAGUAGGUCGUUGUGGCUGUGAUGAUGUCCUUGAGCAAGGCAUCAUUAUUUUAGUAUGUAUUUAUCGUAAUCGAGCUUCGUGAGAGCAUGUAAAUGCAAUAAACUUUAUGUUUCUGUUUAAUAUGACUUUCGUGAGCCCAAGGCUUGUAAUAGAAGUUAGUUGAACCCUCCUAUAUCGAACUUGUAAUAUUAAGUGUGUAAAAUUGCUCUUUGUGGAUCAUCGGCAAUGUACGUGCUUGUAUAACGGUACGUGUGCUUAAUCCUGUGCAUGUGGCAAACACGUACCGGGAUUUUCGGGUUUGCUCU
Molecule: long non-coding RNA, 510 nt
Organism: Panicum virgatum (switchgrass)
Lineage: Eukaryota; Viridiplantae; Streptophyta; Magnoliopsida; Poales; Poaceae
Exons: 2
Source: RefSeq, a predicted model, not a curated record